UACAUCUAUAGCUCAGCUGGAUAGAGCGUUGGACUUCGAAUCCAAGCGUCGCAGGUUCGAAUCCUGUUAGAUGUACCAU
This 79-nucleotide transfer RNA is filed under the name Clostridium botulinum E1 str. 'BoNT E Beluga'. Its description in RNAcentral is "tRNA-Arg". It matches the Rfam family "tRNA". From Rfam's summary of the family: Transfer RNA (tRNA) molecules are approximately 80 nucleotides in length. Their secondary structure includes four short double-helical elements and three loops (D, anti-codon, and T loops). Lineage: Bacteria; Bacillati; Bacillota; Clostridia; Eubacteriales; Clostridiaceae. The record is from RNAcentral.